AAACUAACAAGGAUUCCCCUAGUAGCGGCGAGCGAAGCGGGAAGAGCUCAAAUUUGUAAUCUGGCGUCUCUGGCGUCCGAGUUGUAAUCUAUAGAAACGUUUUCUGUGCCGGACCGCGUCCAAGUCCCUUGGAACAGGGUAUCAAAGAGGGUGACAAUCCCGUGCUUGACGCGACGACCGGGGCUAUGUGAUACGUUUUCUACGAGUCGAGUUGUUUGGGAAUGCAGCUCUAAAUGGGUGGUAAAUUCCAUCUAAAGCUAAAUACAGGCGAGAGACCGAUAGCGAACAAGUACCGUGAGGGAAAGAUGAAAAGCACUUUGGAAAGAGAGUUAAACAGUACGUGAAAUUGUUGAAAGGGAAACGAUUAAAGUCAGUCGUGUCGGUCGGUUUCAGCUUGGUCUCCAAGUGCAUUACCUUCCGACGGGUCAACAUCAGUUUGGGCCGGUUUAGAAGAGUGGAUUGAAGGUGGCACCCUCGGGUGUGUUAUAGCUUUCUACUGCAUAAACUGGCCUGGACUGAGGACUGCAGCUCGCCUUAAUGGCCGCCCCUCGGGGACGUUUCGAGCGUUGGGAUGUUGGCAUAAUGGCUUUAAAC
This 594-nucleotide ribosomal RNA is filed under the name Nielozyma melastomatis (nom. inval.). RNAcentral describes it as "eukaryotic LSU rRNA". It matches the Rfam family "Eukaryotic large subunit ribosomal RNA", at positions 62 to 645 of the family's 3401-position model. The record is from RNAcentral. Lineage: Eukaryota; Fungi; Basidiomycota; Tremellomycetes; Tremellales; Bulleribasidiaceae.